Molecule: ribosomal RNA, 312 nt
Filed under: uncultured bacterium
Lineage: Bacteria
Description: partial 16S ribosomal RNA
Rfam family: Bacterial small subunit ribosomal RNA
Source: RNAcentral
UGGGGAAUAUUGGACAAUGGGGGCAACCCUGAUCCAGCAAUGCCGCGUGUGUGAAGAAGGUCUUCGGAUUGUAAAGCACUUUCGACGGGGACGAUGAUGACGGUACCCGUAGAAGAAGCCCCGGCUAACUUCGUGCCAGCAGCCGCGGUAAUACGAAGGGGGCUAGCGUUGCUCGGAAUGACUGGGCGUAAAGGGCGUGUAGGCGGUUUACACAGUCAGAUGUGAAAUCCCCGGGCUUAACCUGGGAGCUGCAUUUGAUACGUGUAGACUAGAGUGUGAGAGAGGGGUUGUGGAAUUCCCAGUGUAGAGGUG